GAUGAACGCUGGCGGCGUGCCUAAUACAUGCAAGUCGAGCGAACAGACGAGGAGCUUGCUCCUCUGACGUUAGCGGCGGACGGGUGAGUAACACGUGGAUAACCUACCUAUAAGACGGGGAUAACUUCGGGAAACCGGAGCUAAUAGCGUAUAAGAUGCUGAUCCGUAUGGUGCAACAGUGAAAGACGGUCUUGCUGUCACUUAUAGAUGGAUCCGCGCCGCAUUAGCUAGUUGGUAAGUUAACGGCUUACCAAGGGAACGAUGCGUAGCCGACCUGAGGGGGUGGUCGGCCACACUGGAACUGGGCCAGCGUCCAGACUCCUGCGGGAGGCACCAGUAGCGUAUCUUCCGCAGUAGUGGAAAGCCUGGCGGAACGGCGCCGCGUGUGUGGCGGCAGUCUUCGGAUCGUAAUACUCUGUUAUUAGGGGUGAACAAAUGUGUACGUAGCUGAGCCCGUAUUGACGGUACCUGAUAAGGAAGCCACGGCUAACUACGUG
RNAcentral lists this ribosomal RNA (497 nucleotides) under uncultured bacterium. RNAcentral's name for it is "partial 16S ribosomal RNA". It matches the Rfam family "Bacterial small subunit ribosomal RNA", at positions 28 to 507 of the family's 1533-position model. The record is from RNAcentral.